UACGAAGGGGGCUAGCGUUGCUCGGAAUCACUGGGCGUAAAGGGUGCGUAGGCGGGUCUUUAAGUCAGGGGUGAAAUCCUGGAGCUCAACUCCAGAACUGCCUUUGAUACUGGAGAUCUCGAGUCCGGAAGAGGUGAGUGGAACUGCGAGUGUAGAGGUGAAAUUCGUAGAUAUUCGCAAGAACACCAGUGGCGAAGGCGGCUCACUGGUCCGGUACUGACGCUGAGGUGCGAAAGCGUGGUGAGCAAACAGG
This 253-nucleotide ribosomal RNA is filed under the name uncultured bacterium. Its description in RNAcentral is "partial 16S ribosomal RNA". It matches the Rfam family "Bacterial small subunit ribosomal RNA", at positions 524 to 776 of the family's 1533-position model. The record is from RNAcentral.